GAUGAACGCUGGCGGCGUGCUUAAUACAUGCAAGUCGAGCGAAGCGCUUUAACGGAAUUCUCCGGAAGGAAGAUAAAGUGACUGAGCGGCGGACGGGUGAGUAACGCGUGGGUAACCUGCCUCAUACAGGGGGAUAACAGUUAGAAAUGGCUGCUAAUACCGCAUAAGCGCACAGGACCGCAUGGUCUGGUGUGAAAAACUCCGGUGGUAUGGGAUGGACCCGCGUUGGAUUAGGUAGUUGGUGGGGUAACGGCCUACCAAGCCGACGAUCCAUAGCCGGCCUGAGAGGGUGAACGGCCACAUUGGGACUGAGACACGGCCCAGACUCCUACGGGAGGCAGCAGUGGGGAAUAUUGCACAAUGGGGGAAACCCUGAUGCAGCGACGCCGCGUGAAGGAAGAAGUAUCUCGGUAUGUAAACUUCUAUCAGCAGGGAAGAUAGUGACG
This 446-nucleotide ribosomal RNA is filed under the name uncultured bacterium. Its description in RNAcentral is "bacterial SSU rRNA". It matches the Rfam family "Bacterial small subunit ribosomal RNA", at positions 28 to 456 of the family's 1533-position model. The record is from RNAcentral.